UUCGGGGAACGAUAACGGCGUCGAGCGGCGGACGGGUGAGUAAUGCCUAGGAAAUUGCCCUGAUGUGGGGGAUAACCAUUGGAAACGAUGGCUAAUACCGCAUGAUGCCUACGGGCCAAAGAGGGGGACCUUCGGGCCUCUCGCGUCAGGAUAUGCCUAGGUGGGAUUAGCUAGUUGGUGAGGUAAGGGCUCACCAAGGCGACGAUCCCUAGCUGGUCUGAGAGGAUGAUCAGCCACACUGGAACUGAGACACGGUCCAGACUCCUACGGGAGGCAGCAGUGGGGAAUAUUGCACAAUGGGCGCAAGCCUGAUGCAGCCAUGCCGCGUGUGUGAAGAAGGCCUUCGGGUUGUAAAGCACUUUCAGUCGUGAGGAAGGUGGUGAAGUUAAUAGCUGUAUUAUUUGACGUUAGCGACAGAAGAAGCACCGGCUAACUCCGUGCCAGCAGCCGCGGUAAUACGGAGGGUGCGAGCGUUAAUCGGAAUUACUGGGCGUAAAGCGCAUGCAGGUGGUUUGUUAAGUCAGAUGUGAAAGCCCGGGGCUCAACCUCGGAAUAGCAUUUGAAACUGGCAGACUAGAGUACUGUAGAGGGGGGUAGAAUUUCAGGUGUAGCGGUGAAAUGCGUAGAGAUCUGAAGGAAUACCGGUGGCGAAGGCGGCCCCCUGGACAGAUACUGACACUCAGAUGCGAAAGCGUGGGGGAGCAAACAGGAUUAGAUACCCUGGUAGUCCACGCCGUAAACGAUGUCUACUUGGAGGUUGUGCCCUUGAGCCGUGCUUUCGGAGCUAACGCGUUAAGUAG
Molecule: ribosomal RNA, 800 nt
Filed under: Vibrio alginolyticus
Lineage: Bacteria; Pseudomonadati; Pseudomonadota; Gammaproteobacteria; Vibrionales; Vibrionaceae
Description: bacterial SSU rRNA
Rfam family: Bacterial small subunit ribosomal RNA
Source: RNAcentral